This 253-nucleotide ribosomal RNA is filed under the name uncultured bacterium. Its description in RNAcentral is "partial 16S ribosomal RNA". It matches the Rfam family "Bacterial small subunit ribosomal RNA", at positions 524 to 776 of the family's 1533-position model. The record is from RNAcentral.
UACGUAGGUGACAAGCGUUAUCCGGAUUUAUUGGGCGUAAAGCGCACGCAGGCGGUCUAUCAAGUCUGACGUGAAAUCUCUCGGCUUAACCGGGAGCGGUCGUUGGAAACUGAAGGACUUGAGGCGAUGAGAGGGGUGUGGAAUUCCCGGUGUAGUGGUGGAAUGCGUAGAUAUCGGAAGGAACACCGGUGGCGAAAGCGACGUGCUGGACCUUUUCUGACGCUGAGGCGCGAAAGCCAGGGGAGCAAACGGG